RNAcentral lists this transfer RNA (76 nucleotides) under Hyphomicrobiaceae bacterium. RNAcentral's name for it is "tRNA-Arg". It matches the Rfam family "tRNA". Rfam says of the family: Transfer RNA (tRNA) molecules are approximately 80 nucleotides in length. Their secondary structure includes four short double-helical elements and three loops (D, anti-codon, and T loops). Lineage: Bacteria; Pseudomonadati; Pseudomonadota; Alphaproteobacteria; Hyphomicrobiales; Hyphomicrobiaceae. The record is from RNAcentral.
GCUGGGAUAGCUCAGAGGAAAGAGCAUCCGGUUUCUACCCGGUAGGUCGGGGGUUCGAAUCCCUCUCUCAGUACCA